Felis catus (domestic cat) is the source of this 1704-nucleotide long non-coding RNA. RefSeq lists it as uncharacterized. The transcript has 2 exons. NCBI's taxonomy places the organism in Eukaryota, Metazoa, Chordata, Mammalia, Carnivora, Felidae. The record is from RefSeq and is a predicted model, not a curated record.
UUAUGCUUUCUUUCCCAGCGAAUCGGCAAAAUUCACACGAUGUAUUAACUCAGAAUGAUCUAAUUCACACAGAAGAAAAAUGAUCACACUGCACAUAAGAUAUGUGGGAAAAUGCUAAAAUCGGAAAGGCAAUUAUGUAAAAACCUGUUAACAUAAACAUUUGUUUAUGCAAGUGAAAUUCAUUUUUUAGAUUAUGUAAUAUCUGGCAACUAUUAACUACGACAUUCAUAAUCUAAGUGAAAUCAGGGUAGCAGGAUCUUGACUCCACAUGCUAUGAUGGCACGUGGAGCUUUUAUUGGAUCACAGAACCCACCAAGAAUCUGAUGAAAGCCAUGGAGAGUCUCUGCAGAAGAAAAGCACAUUCAUACAACAUUUUGCCUAGAUAUCCUGAGUCCAUUUGCCACAGGCUCCAGAGAGUCCAUGAACCACAGGUCAAGAGCCCCUGUGUGGGGAGAUGGCUCCAAGGGGAGGAACAGAAGAUCCCUUCCCACCACCAAGGCAGCCACCAGGGCAAGGCGACCAAAGGCUGACUGGGUAACAAACCCUCCAGCUGGAAGAGCCGGCAGUAAGCCUAGAUUGGGACCUGCUCUACCUCUAGGCCAGCAUGUGACGUCACAGCAUCCUUAGCGACACAUUCAGAAGGACCCUUGCUGUCACUGGAUGAUUCGGGAUUUAGCAUGUGAUUCUGACCCACAGUUUCUCACCGGUCCCUUCAGGUGGGUGCACCAGCACAUGCCCUCUGAUGGUUGCUUUUAAGAGUAUUUUUCUUUCUCCUUCUAUGGAAAACAUUCAAGUGUGCAUGAAAAAAACAGGAAGUCACAGACAAUUAAACAGGAUUAACCAACGGCGAAAUUUAAGACUUUGAGCACAGUCAUGGAAGUGAAGUGUCCUGCCAGGCUCUGUGCUGAGAGCUGGGACCCUGACAAUGGUCACGGCAGUCCUGCCUGGUGGACCUUCAAAAACCCCACACAAGCAGACAUUUUCUGCGCUGGAGGAGCACAUCCUUUGGGGCGAUGAUGAGAUUUGGGCAAUGCCCGCAUUCCCCAUGUCUCUGACCUCCGACAGGCACCUUGCACUAGUGGCCGCCGUGCGGAGAAGUCUUCACAGUGGCUAACGGUGAUUUCCUUUCCUUCCCCACUGAAAGCGCCAAUCCCUCCCCUGCUUUAUGUUUCUACCAGCACUGGUUGCCAUGUGGGAGCUGUCACCCAGGGAGGAGAACGGUGUGGUGGUUAAGAGCACGGAGCCUGGAGCCAGACUGUGGGGGUCUAAAUCCUGACUCCGUUGCUUAGGGCUCUGUGGCCUGGGCAAGUUACUCAACAACUCUGUGCCUCUGUGUCCGCUUCUCAAAAUGAGGAUGCUAACAGAACUAUCACUAUAGUGCUAUUGCCAUGGGGAUUAAAUGAGUGAAUACACAUGAAAUACUAAGAACAAUACUUGGCUCAUGCAAAAUGUUUGCUCUUAUUACGCCACACGGAAUAUAUUAUUACUAUAGGUUUACUAUUCAUACUAUAUAACUGUAUGUAUGGCUGUAUACCUUGCUACCACUACUAUAUCUUUACUAAUUUUUAUUGUUUUUUCUUCCCCCACUAGAAUGUCAGCUGCAAUGGGGUACAUUUUCUUACAGUUUUGUUCACUGUAGUAUCUACAGCACACAGACAAGUGAUUGUCAUUCAGUAGAAGGUUAAUACGUAUUUGCUGAAUGAA